GAUCCGUUAGCUCAGUUGGGAGAGCGCCACCUUGACAGGGUGGAGGUCGCAGGUUCAAGCCCUGCACGGGUCACCA
This 76-nucleotide transfer RNA is filed under the name Bacilli bacterium. RNAcentral's name for it is "tRNA-Val". It matches the Rfam family "tRNA". From Rfam's summary of the family: Transfer RNA (tRNA) molecules are approximately 80 nucleotides in length. Their secondary structure includes four short double-helical elements and three loops (D, anti-codon, and T loops). Lineage: Bacteria; Bacillati; Bacillota; Bacilli. The record is from RNAcentral.